Molecule: ribosomal RNA, 598 nt
Filed under: uncultured bacterium
Lineage: Bacteria
Description: bacterial SSU rRNA
Rfam family: Bacterial small subunit ribosomal RNA
Source: RNAcentral
GGGCCCGCACAAGCAGUGGAGUAUGUGGUUUAAUUCGAAGCAACGCGAAGAACCUUACCAGGUCUUGACAUCCAACGGAUCCUGUAGAGAUACGGGAGUGCCCUUCGGGGAACGUUGAGACAGGUGGUGCAUGGUUGUCGUCAGCUCGUGUCGUGAGAUGUUGGGUUAAGUCCCGCAACGAGCGCAACCCUUGUGAUUAGUUGCUACGCAAGAGCACUCUAAUCAGACUGCCGUUGACAAAACGGAGGAAGGUGGGGACGACGUCAAAUCAUCAUGCCCCUUAUGACCUGGGCUACACACGUACUACAAUGGCCGUCAACAGAGGGAAGCAAGACCGCGAGGUGGAGCAAACCCCUAAAAACGGUCUCAGUUCGGAUCGCAGGCUGCAACCCGCCUGCGUGAAGCUGGAAUUGCUAGUAAUCGCGGAUCAUCAUGCCGCGGUGAAUACGUUCCCGGGCCUUGUACACACCGCCCGUCACACCAUGGGAGCCGGUAAUACCCGAAGUCGGUAGCCUAACCGCAAGGAGGGCGCCGCCGAAGGUAGGAUUGGCGACUGGGGUGAAGUCGUAACAAGGUAGCCGUAUCGGAAGGUGCGGCU